Molecule: ribosomal RNA, 497 nt
Filed under: uncultured bacterium
Lineage: Bacteria
Description: partial 16S ribosomal RNA
Rfam family: Bacterial small subunit ribosomal RNA
Source: RNAcentral
GAUGAACGCUGGCGGCGUGCCUAAUACAUGCAAGUCGAGCGAACGGACGAUAAGCUUGCUUCUCUGAUGUUAGCGGCGGACGGGUGAGUAACACGUGGAUAACCUACCUAUAAGACUGGGAUAACUUCGGGAAACCGGAGCUAAUACCGUAUGAUAUUUUGAACCGCAUGGUUCAAAAGUGAAAUACGGUCUUGCGGUCACUUAUAGAUGGAUCCGCGCUGCAUUAGAUAGUUGGUAAGGUAACGGCUUACCAAGGCAACGAUGCAUAGCCGACCUGAGAGGGUGAUCGGCCACACUGGAACUGAGACACGGUCCAGACUCCUACGGGAGGCAGCAGUAGGGAAUCUUCCGCAAUGGGCGAAAGCCUGACGGAGCAGCGCCGCGUGAGUGAUGAAGGUCUUCGGAUCGUAAAAAUCUGUUAUUAGGGAAGAACAUAUGUGUAAGUAACUGUGCACAUCUUGACGGUACCUAAUAAGAAAGCAACGGCUAACUACGUG